CCCUUAGAUGUUCUGGGCCGCACGCGUGCUACACUGAGUGGAUCAGCGGGUCAGGUUGCGCGAAAGCGUUUCCUAAUCUUUAAAUCCGCUCGUGAUGGGGAUCGACGGUUGCAAUUUUCUGUCAUGAACGAGGAAUACCUUGUAAGCGCGGGUCAUCAUCCCGCGCUGAAUACGUCCCUGCCCUUUGUACACACCGCCCGUCGCUCCUACCGAUUGAGUGGUCCGGUGAGGCUUUGGGAUCUGAGCGGAAAGAGCGUUUCGCUGUUUCUGCUCGGAAAGCUCAGUCGAACCUUAUCAUUUAGAGGAAGGAGAAGUCGUAACA
This 322-nucleotide ribosomal RNA is filed under the name uncultured eukaryote. RNAcentral describes it as "partial 18S ribosomal RNA". It matches the Rfam family "Eukaryotic small subunit ribosomal RNA", at positions 1470 to 1796 of the family's 1831-position model. The record is from RNAcentral.